Molecule: ribosomal RNA, 575 nt
Filed under: uncultured eukaryote
Lineage: Eukaryota
Description: eukaryotic LSU rRNA
Rfam family: 5.8S ribosomal RNA (bases 182-335)
Source: RNAcentral
AACAAGGUCUCCGUUGGUGAACCAGCGGAGGGAUCAUUAUCGAGUUAUUCAACUCCCAAACCCUAUGUGAACUUACCACUUGUUGCUUCGGCGCGCGCUUCGGCGCCGCCGAGGACACUUAAACUCUUUGUUUUUAUAAGCAUUUCUGAGUGGCCGAAAGGCAAAAAUACAAAUGGAUCAAAACUUUCAACAACGGAUCUCUUGGUUCUGGCAUCGAUGAAGAACGCAGCGAAAUGCGAUAAGUAAUGUGAAUUGCAGAAUUCAGUGAAUCAUCGAAUCUUUGAACGCACAUUGCGCCCGCCAGCAUUCUGGCGGGCAUGCCUGUUCGAGCGUCAUUUCAACCCUCGAGCCCGACUCUUUUGAGGACGGCUCGGCGUUGGGGGACGGCAGACUCCCCCCGGCAUCUCGCCGGGGACGCCGCCCCCGAAAUCUAGUGGCGGCCCUCCGAGGCGACCUCUGCGUAGUAACUUGUUCUCGCACCGGAAAGCUCAGAGCGGCCACGCCGUAAAACCCCAACUUUUUUCAGGUUGACCUCGAAUCAGGUAGGACUACCCGCUGAACUUAAGCAUAUCAAU